UCAGGAGACAGAUGGCUGAUAAAUUAGAGAAUAGAUCUGUAAUAACUCAUUUUAUAGGGUAUUUAAAAGAAUCAAUAGGAUACUACUUCUACUUUCCACAAGAUCACAAUAUGAUUGUGAGUCAGAAUAUCAUAUUCCUUAAAAAAUAAUUUAACCAAGAUAGUGGUAGUGGGAGGUUAGUUGAGCUCGAAGAGAAGAUCUUUGAAGAAUAAAGAACUAUAGAUCCUCAGGAAUCCAUUAUUCAUGAGCU
Molecule: long non-coding RNA, 250 nt
Filed under: Elaeis guineensis (African oil palm)
Lineage: Eukaryota; Viridiplantae; Streptophyta; Magnoliopsida; Arecales; Arecaceae
Description: long non-coding RNA (EGUI_LNC058795)
Source: RNAcentral